GCAUAUCAAUAAGCGGAGGAAAAGAAACUAACAAGGAUUCCCUUAGUAACGGCGAGUGAAGCGGGAAGAGCUCAAAUUUGAAAUCUUCAAGGUUCUACCUUGACGAAUUGUAGUUUAAAGAAGUGUUUUCUGUUAGAUGAGUAGCAAAAGUUCCUUGGAAUGGGACAUCAUAGAGGGUGAGAAUCCCGUAUUUGGUUAUUCAUUCUAGCUUUGUGAUACACUUUCAAAGAGUCGGAUUGUUUGGGAAUGCAGUCCAAAAUGGGUGGUAAAUUUCAUCUAAAGCUAAAUAUUGGCGAGAGACCGAUAGCGAACAAGUACCGUGAGGGAAAGAUGAAAAGAACUUUGAAAAGAGAGUUAAACAGUACGUGAAAUUGUCAAAAGGGAAGCGUUUGACACCAGUGUUGUUUUUCCGAAAAUCAAUUACGAAUGGCUUGAUUUUGUGUUGUAUUGACCUUAUCAGCUUUCUGCACUUUUUUCGAGUCUUUCUUAAUGCACUUUUCGGUUAACAAGUCAACAUCAGUUUCUUUUGUUGUAAAAGAGUAUUCGGAAGGUGGCUUUCUUUUCGGAGAAAGUGUUUAUAGCCCUAUACUUCUACAAUCGGAGAGAUUGAGGUCUGCAGCGUAGAUCCUUCGGGGUUAGAUACACUUGUGCUAAGUUGUAGCUUUUCAUAGACAACUUGUUGACUAUGUUUAGUCAUGCGGCUUACUCGCUUAUGCUAUUUUACCUACGCUUAGGAUGUUGACAAAAUGGUUUUAAACGACCCGUCUUGAAACACGGACC
Molecule: ribosomal RNA, 780 nt
Filed under: Neocallimastix frontalis
Lineage: Eukaryota; Fungi; Neocallimastigomycota; Neocallimastigomycetes; Neocallimastigales; Neocallimastigaceae
Description: partial large subunit ribosomal RNA
Rfam family: Eukaryotic large subunit ribosomal RNA
Source: RNAcentral